AUUUAAAUAGUUUAAUAAGAAUAAUAAUCUGUGGAGUUAUAGGUGUCGUUUGUGACUUUGAAU
This 63-nucleotide transfer RNA is filed under the name Triatoma vitticeps. RNAcentral describes it as "tRNA-His". The record is from RNAcentral. Lineage: Eukaryota; Metazoa; Arthropoda; Insecta; Hemiptera; Reduviidae.